This is a long non-coding RNA of Tupaia belangeri chinensis (Chinese tree shrew), 420 nucleotides long. RefSeq lists it as uncharacterized. Lineage: Eukaryota; Metazoa; Chordata; Mammalia; Scandentia; Tupaiidae. The transcript is spliced from 3 exons. The record is from RefSeq and is a predicted model, not a curated record.
AUUUAACACAGAGCUGAGCUCUCAAGUGCUCACGUGAUCUGACACACCUUUGCAGAACAUCGCAGAAGAGUCUCUUUUCACUGACAAGCUUCUCAUUGGAAGAACUCCAGAUUUUGGACAACACGGAUGCAGCUGGCUCUUUUGUUUGAUGGAAGGAAUCACAGAGCUAAAUAUCCAGUGGAAUAUCAAAUGGAAUACAAGAGACUUUCCUCUCUGCUCUCUGGAUCUCUGCAAAAUGCCCUGUUUGUUUUGAAGGUCAAACAAUGUACUCAGUAACCACAAGAUGGCUGCCACCGAGCAUUGGCUGAUAAUUAACUCUGCUUGCUGGAGGCUAUUUCCCGAAACAGCAUUCCAUGAAGUUUCUGAAGACCUGCCUACAUCAAACAAACAAUUGCUGAACUGUAAUAGACCCGCCCUUAA